AAACAUAUUAAUUAGGAUAUAUAUUAUAUAUCCCUAUAAAGUUUAAAUUUUCAGAUUUAUCUCUUAAAAAAUUUUAACGGUUUCAAAUAUACACUUACUAUUAGUGUCCGUUGAAAAAUUUUAGUUAAUCAUAGAUAAAAUACUUAAUCUUGGUUAGUGAAUGAGAUAAUUUGACCUUUUUACUCCUAUAAUAUUAUACAUUUUUUUUUAAUCAGAAUCCUAAUUCAAUCAAAACCCUAGCAAUAAGAACUCUUCUUCCUCUUCCUCUCGAACCCGUAAUUAGGAUUUCUUUGUCCCCAUUCAUCUACGAUGCGUGUUGCUUCGCCCAUGUCGAGCAUCAGGGAAUCAGCAUCAGAUAGGUAAAAGAGAAAAAGAGCGAGAGAAGAGAUUACAAUGAUGGUAGAUUGGAUUAAUUGUUUUAGAGGAAAAAGAUGAUCAUUAGGAAUUUUUUGGGAGGAUAUUUCUGUAUAAUUCUAAUAGCUGGUGCUUAUGGAAGAGUAUUUGUGAUGACAAAAUUGACAUUUUACUUCUAUUCUGUUAAAAAAAUAUUUUAACAGAAUAGUGAACUAAUGUUAAUAGAUCAGAGAGAUAAAUAUGAGCAUCACUAGACUUUUAAAAGGAUAAAUUUAAAGAUUUAAAUUUUAUAGGAAUAUAUCUGUUAUUUGAUAUGUUUACAGGAAUUAGUCCUGAUAAUGUAUGGACCAAGUCAGAAUAUUUGAGUAGUACAGGGACUAAUCAUAUAUUUUACCCCCUUUCUAACUAAAAAAUUUUAUUUUUGCACCCUACUAAUUAAUAAUGGAGAUUUUUUUGCAUUCGACCUCCUUAAAAAAAUUAUUUUUAUAAAUAAUUUUAUCAAAUUUAUAAUUAUAUAUUUUUAGCUCUAUCCCCGCCAUGUAGACGCCACGUAAGCACCACACGAGUAAGAGAAUAAGUUGAACACGUAAUGGUAAUCUAUUUAUGGCGCUAAUGUUGCGCCUACGGUAGGGAUAUGGCUAAAAUUGUAAUUAUAAAUUUGAUAGAGUAAUUUGUGAUUUU
RNAcentral lists this long non-coding RNA (1035 nucleotides) under Ananas comosus (pineapple). RNAcentral's name for it is "long non-coding RNA (ACOM_LNC020287)". The record is from RNAcentral. Lineage: Eukaryota; Viridiplantae; Streptophyta; Magnoliopsida; Poales; Bromeliaceae.